This 630-nucleotide ribosomal RNA is filed under the name Amanita virosa (European destroying angel). RNAcentral describes it as "eukaryotic LSU rRNA". The stretch from base 65 to 218 matches the Rfam family "5.8S ribosomal RNA". The record is from RNAcentral. Lineage: Eukaryota; Fungi; Basidiomycota; Agaricomycetes; Agaricales; Amanitaceae.
AUGCCCUUUUCCUACACACUAGUUGCAUGUCUAUAGAAGGAUGAUUUGAUUAAAUAUAAAAUACAACUUUCAACAACGGAUCUCUUGGCUCUCGCAUCGAUGAAGAACGCAGCGAAAUGCGAUAAGUAAUGUGAAUUGCAGAAUUCAGUGAAUCAUCGAAUCUUUGAACGCACCUUGCGCUCCUUGGCAUUCUGAGGAGCAUGCCUGUUUGAGUGUCAUUAACAUCUCAAGACCUGUCUGCUUUUGAUAGGUAUUGGAUUCUUGGGGGUUGCAGGCUGUUUCAGAUAGCUUGCUCUCCUUGAAUGUAUUAGUGGAGAAAGAGCCAUUGAACUCCAUUGGUGUGAUAAAAUCUAUCAAUGCCAGGAGCCAUGUUAGUUUUCUCUGCUGUCUAACUCUAACAGUCGUCUGUAUAAAAUGGACAACUCAACCUAACUUGACCUCAAAUCAGGUAGGACUACCCGCUGAACUUAAGCAUAUCAAUAAGCGGAGGAAAAGAAACUAACAAGGAUUCCCCUAGUAACUGCGAGUGAAGCGGGAAAAGCUCAAAUUUAAAAUCUGGCAGAUGCUUGUCUGUCCGAGUUGUAACCUAGAGAAGUGUAACCUGUGCUGGACCGUGUACAAAUCUCUCUG